This 528-nucleotide long non-coding RNA is filed under the name Nicotiana tabacum (common tobacco). RNAcentral describes it as "long non-coding RNA (NTAB_LNC005056)". The record is from RNAcentral. Lineage: Eukaryota; Viridiplantae; Streptophyta; Magnoliopsida; Solanales; Solanaceae.
UAUAGCCCAUUUCUGUAAAUUUAUUUUGUCCAGGGCGGUGGCUGACACUACUUUGAUUACUUUGCGUUCUUACUCGUCUCCCAUGGCUAAUAGGUAAAUAUCGAUGAGAACAAGAACAUAUAGAUAAGAUGUUCUGCAUGUUGCCACCCUCAAAGUCUCUACCAAUAAACGACAUCGUUGGAGGCAUUCUUUCUGUUUGCAACAUUGACUCAUGAAUGAGGAAUCUCAAUAGGUAGCUCUUUGGUCAUGUUGUUAUUUUUGAGUUUCUUUCUUGGUGAUCCUAAUUGUUGUUUUAUGUAUUUGAUGUUGUUGUCUAGGUUAUAACUUUUAGCUAAUGGCUGCAGUUGAGUUACUUUAAUAGGAUGGUUUUCCUGAUUUAAUAGGUGUGACCUUAGUCAAUUGCUAAACUACUUAUGAGCUAACUAAAAUUGUAGUCUAUAAUUCAGGUUCUUCGUAUUUUGUUCUUGAACACAAAAAGGAGAAAGAACAUUAUUUCGUGGAUUCUUUCCAUCACUGCUGAAUCCUCGA